This 73-nucleotide transfer RNA is filed under the name Cordylochernes scorpioides. RNAcentral describes it as "tRNA-Gly". It matches the Rfam family "tRNA". Rfam says of the family: Transfer RNA (tRNA) molecules are approximately 80 nucleotides in length. Their secondary structure includes four short double-helical elements and three loops (D, anti-codon, and T loops). Further hydrogen bonds mediate the characteristic L-shaped molecular structure. tRNAs have two regions of fundamental functional importance: the anti-codon, which is responsible for specific mRNA codon recognition, and the 3' end, to which the tRNAs corresponding amino acid is attached (by aminoacyl-tRNA synthetases). tRNAs cope with the degeneracy of the genetic code in two manners: having more than one tRNA (with a specific anti-codon) for a particular amino acid; and 'wobble' base-pairing, i.e. permitting non-standard base-pairing at the 3rd anti-codon position. Lineage: Eukaryota; Metazoa; Arthropoda; Arachnida; Pseudoscorpiones; Chernetidae. The record is from RNAcentral.
CCAUCGGUGGUCAGUGUAGGUAGAAUGCUCGCCUGCCACGCGGGCGGUCCGGGUUCGAUUCCCGGCCGAUGCA